GUGAACAUAGUGUAGUGGUUAUCACGUUUGCUUUACACGCAAAAGGACUCCAGUUCGAUCCUGGAUGUUCGCA
This 73-nucleotide transfer RNA is filed under the name Enterospora canceri. It matches the Rfam family "tRNA". From Rfam's summary of the family: Transfer RNA (tRNA) molecules are approximately 80 nucleotides in length. Lineage: Eukaryota; Fungi; Microsporidia; Enterocytozoonidae. The record is from Rfam by way of RNAcentral.